Molecule: ribosomal RNA, 483 nt
Filed under: uncultured bacterium
Lineage: Bacteria
Description: partial 16S ribosomal RNA
Rfam family: Bacterial small subunit ribosomal RNA
Source: RNAcentral
GACGAACGCUGGCGGCGUGCUUAACACAUGCAAGUCGAACGCUGAAGCUCAGCUUUUGUUGGGUGGAUGAGUGGCGAACGGGUGAGUAACACGUGAGUAACCUGCCCCCUUCUUUGGGAUAACGCCCGGAAACGGGUGCUAAUACUGGAUAUUCACUGGUCUUCGCAUGGGGGUUGGUGGAAAGGGUUUUUCUGGUGGGGGAUGGGCUCGCGGCCUAUCAGCUUGUUGGUGGGGUGAUGGCCUACCAAGGCUUUGACGGGUAGCCGGCCUGAGAGGGUGACCGGUCACAUUGGGACUGAGAUCCGGCCCAGACUCCUACGGGAGGCAGCAGUGGGGAAUAAUGCACAAUGGGCGCAAGCCUGAUGCAGCGACGCCGCGUGAGGGAUGGAGGCCUUCGGGUUGUGAACCUCUUUCGCUCAUGGUCAAGCCGCAACAAUGGUUGUGGUGAGGGUAGUGGGUAAAGAAGCGCCGGCUAACUACGUG